Molecule: ribosomal RNA, 463 nt
Filed under: uncultured bacterium
Lineage: Bacteria
Description: bacterial SSU rRNA
Rfam family: Bacterial small subunit ribosomal RNA
Source: RNAcentral
AGGGAAUAGAUACCCGGGUAGUCCACGCCGUAAACUAUGGACGCUAGCUGUUAGAAGUAUCGACCCUUCUAGUAGCGAAAGCUAAACGCGUUAAGCGUCCCGCCUGUGGAGUACGAGCGCAAGCUUAAAACAUAAAGGAAUUGACGGGGACCCGCACAAGCGGUGGAGCGUGUUGUUUAAUUCGAUGCUAAGCGAAGAACCUUACCCAGGUUUGACAUCCUACUAAUUUCUCCGAAAGGAGAGAGUGCCUUCGGGCCGUAGUGACAGGUGUUGCAUGGCCGUCGUCAGCUCGUGUCGUGAGAUGUUUGGUUAAGUCCAUCAACGAGCGCAACCCUUUUGUUUAGUUGUAUUUCUCUAAACAGACUGCCCUGGCAACAGGGAGGAAGGAGGGGAUGAUGUCAGGUCAGUAUUACCCUUACGUCUGGGGCUACAAACACGCUACAAUGGACGGUACAAAGGGCAG